GCAGCAGCCACGGGAAUACAGAGGGUGCAAGCGUUAAUCGGAUUUACUGGGCGUAAAGGGCGCGUAGGUGGUUAUGUAAGUGAGAUGUGAAAUCCCCGGGCUCAACCUGGGGACUGCGCUUGAUACGGUCGAGCUAGAGGAUGGAAGAGGGUUGUGGAAUUCCCAGUGUAGAGGUGAAAUUCGUAGAUAUUGGGAAGAACACCGGUGGCGAAGGCGACUAUCUGGGCCAACACUGACACUGAGGCACGAAAGCGUGGGGAGCAAACAGGAUUAGUUACCCCGGUAGUCCCUGUCUCUUAUAC
This 302-nucleotide ribosomal RNA is filed under the name uncultured bacterium. Its description in RNAcentral is "partial 16S ribosomal RNA". It matches the Rfam family "Bacterial small subunit ribosomal RNA", at positions 508 to 807 of the family's 1533-position model. The record is from RNAcentral.